RNAcentral lists this ribosomal RNA (433 nucleotides) under uncultured bacterium. RNAcentral describes it as "partial 16S ribosomal RNA". It matches the Rfam family "Bacterial small subunit ribosomal RNA", at positions 29 to 507 of the family's 1533-position model. The record is from RNAcentral.
AACGAACGCUGGCGGCAUGCCUAACACAUGCAAGUCGAACGAGACCUUCGGGUCUAGUGGCGCACGGGUGCGUAACGCGUGGGAACCUGCCCUUAGGUUCGGAAUAACUCCCCGAAAGGGGUGCUAAUACCGGAUAAUGUCCUCGGACCAAAGAUUUAUCGCCUUUGGAUGGGCCCGCGUUGGAUUAGCUAGUUGGUAGGGUAAAAGCCUACCAAGGCGACGAUCCAUAGCUGGUCUGAGAGGAUGAUCAACCACACUGGGACUGAGACACGGCCCAGACUCCUACGGGAGGCAGCAGUGGGGAAUAUUGGACAAUGGGCGAAAGCCUGAUCCAGCAAUGCCGCGUGAGUGAUGAAGGCCUUAGGGUUGUAAAGCUCUUUUACCCGGGAUGAUAAUGACAGUACCGGGAGAAUAAGCUCCGGCUAACUCCGUG